UGGAAACGACUGCUAAUACCGCAUAAGACCACAGAGCCGCAUGGCUCAGGGGUAAAAGGAUUUAUUCGCUUGAGGAUGGACUCGCGUCCAAUUAGCUAGUUGGUGAGGUAACGGCCCACCAAGGCGACGAUUGGUAGCCGGACUGAGAGGUUGAUCGGCCACAUUGGGACUGAGACACGGCCCAGACUCCUACGGGAGGCAGCAGUGGGGGAUAUUGCACAAUGGGGGAAACCCUGAUGCAGCGACGCCGCGUGAAGGAAGAAGGCCUUCGGGUUGUAAACUUCUGUCGUACGGGACGAUAAUGACGGUACCGUACAAGAAAGCCACGGCUAACUACGUGCCAGCAGCCGCGGUAAAACGUAGGUGGCAAGCGUUGUCCGGAAUUACUGGGUGUAAAGGGAGCGCAGGCGGACUGGCAAGUUGGAAGUGAAAUCUAUGGGCUCAACCCAUAAAUUGCUUUCAAAACUGCCGGUCUUGAGUAGUGCAGAGGUAGGCGGAAUUCCCGGUGUAGCGGUGGAAUGCGUAGAUAUCGGGAGGAACACCAGUGGCGAAGGCGGCCUACUGGGCACCAACUGACGCUGAGGCUCGAAAGUAUGGGUAGCAAACAGGAUUAGAUACCCUGGUAGUCCAUACCGUAAACGAUGAUUACUAGGUGUUGGAGGAUUGACCCCUUCAGUGCCGCAGU
RNAcentral lists this ribosomal RNA (685 nucleotides) under uncultured bacterium. RNAcentral's name for it is "bacterial SSU rRNA". It matches the Rfam family "Bacterial small subunit ribosomal RNA", at positions 151 to 852 of the family's 1533-position model. The record is from RNAcentral.